AGUGAACGCUGGCGGUAGGCCUAACACAUGCAAGUCGAACGGCAGCACAGUAAGAGCUUGCUCUUACGGGUGGCGAGUGGCGGACGGGUGAGGAAUACAUCGGAAUCUACUUUUUCGUGGGGGAUAACGUAGGGAAACUUACGCUAAUACCGCAUACGACCUACGGGUGAAAGCAGGGGAUCUUCGGACCUUGCGCGAUUGAAUGAGCCGAUGUCGGAUUAGCUAGUUGGCGGAGUAAAGGCCCACCAAGGCGACGAUCCGUAGCUGGUCUGAGAGGAUGAUCAGCCACACUGGAACUGAGACACGGUCCAGACUCCUACGGGAGGCAGCAGUGGGGAAUAUUGGACAAUGGGCGCAAGCCUGAUCCAGCCAUACCGCGUGGGUGAAGAAGGCCUUCGGGUUGUAAAGCCCCUUUGUUGGGAAAGAAAAGCAGCAGGUUAAUACCCCGCUGUUCUGACGGUACCCAAAGAAUAAGCACCGGCUAACUUCGUG
This 492-nucleotide ribosomal RNA is filed under the name uncultured bacterium. RNAcentral describes it as "partial 16S ribosomal RNA". It matches the Rfam family "Bacterial small subunit ribosomal RNA", at positions 29 to 507 of the family's 1533-position model. The record is from RNAcentral.